This 1828-nucleotide long non-coding RNA is filed under the name Nicotiana tabacum (common tobacco). RNAcentral's name for it is "long non-coding RNA (NTAB_LNC011012)". The record is from RNAcentral. Lineage: Eukaryota; Viridiplantae; Streptophyta; Magnoliopsida; Solanales; Solanaceae.
CAUCAUCUCCGAACCAUACCAUAAAUACAACGAUGCACUAAGCAUUGGACCAUGACUUAGUCACUUCAACUUUACAGCCCUGCACGGCCACGGCUCUUGUUCUCCUACUAUUGUAGAAAGGCAUUCUUCCAUAACGUAACCUUGCUAAUAUGACAACAACUUGAUGAGUCUAUUGACUUGGAUUCUUUCGUUGCUGAAUACAAUUUUAGUAUUAUUCUGCACAGUAAUAGAACGACCAAUUUUGCUAGCUUAAUUUGAAGAUCAGAGCACUAAAAACGAGUAUAAUGAAUUCAAUGACCAAACCUGCUGUUUUUGUAUGUGCUGUCUUCUUUACCUUUUUUAGUAUAUCGAAAUAACAACUUUUUUUUUAGUACCCUCUUCGUUCACUUUUAGUUGUUCACUUUUGACUUUGCACACCCUUUAAAGAAAUAUAUAUGAAGUAUGUAUUUUAUAAUUUUACCCAUAAUAAUGAUAGCAUUUCCAAAAGUUUUGGGAGAUAAUUUGCAAAUCACGCCACGAGAAACGGAUUCGCAACAUGCUUAUUUUAAUUAUUUGAAAUUAUGGUCAAGUCACGUGAAACGCGCACUCGAAUUGGAGAUUGCGUAUCAUGACUAUGCUACGGAACCGUAUCCAUAAUUACGAUUAUCUUAUGAAGACGCGCUUAAAGCGACUAACGUGUUUGUGAGUUAUUUGAACUAAACUUUGGGAUUAUUAUGCAACCCUAUUACAUGAGCAUGUACAUGCUUUCUUCUAAGAAUCCAAACCAAGCCUACAGUCCCUUAAAGCUAACAAAUAAUAGUCCAUUACCAAAAUCUAAUUAGCAUCAUUUUGUCGGUCACAACACAUACGCCUAUAUCAGAACCCAUGUUCAAAUUAGCUCAUAGACAUCAAUUGGCAGACAUGAAUUCUUUUCUAAAUUCAAUAUAUUUCAAAUUAUUUUAUUUCAAACUCAACAAAUCAAACAGCCCCUUCCUACUACAUAUUACUACAAAUUCAUAAGAAAAACAAAAAUAUUCAUCUACCCCCUAAAAAUUUACAAACGGAUUCACUGUAUGUCAUGAGCACACCAAAUAUGAACUUAAAAAUUAGUAGUUAAUUAGUAAUAUUCUCAACAAGACAAGUUAGCUAAAUGAUCAUGAGCUAAUCUCCAUUAAACAAAUAAAGACAAAAUUCUCGUCUAGAGGCAUAGAGUAAACAGAGAACUUCUCCAAACAUUAUUCAAACAUAAACAAAGUAAGAUAUGAAAAUCAAAAGAUAAAAUAAAAUGGAUAGAGUUAGAAUGGGACCUUUAAAACGCGAACGCUAGCAGAGCCACUAAUCUAAACUUGAAAGCAGACCGGACCACCGAACGGAGUUUGACAAACUCAACUGACCUCGCCGAAACUCGAUUUUUGAAGUGAGUAAAGGCUAUUUUGAAGCUGUUUUGGGGUUGUAUUGGACGGGUUUUAUGGCUGUUUUGACGAGGUAUUUCAACUGAUUUUCUGGCAGCGUUUUUGGAGUGUUAAAGGGUCGUUUUGGGGCUGGUUUUGUGGUGGUUUCACGAGCUGGGUUUUGACAGCAUUUUGAGGUCGUGUUUGACUAAAAAAUGAAGCUGCCUUCUAGCUUGUUUUCAGCUGAAAGUGAAGUACUUUUGGGAGUUAUUUCAACUAGGUUUGGCUUGGUGUUCAUGGUGAUAGAGCUUAGUGGAGUUUCAUCGAUGGGUUGAUUAAGUUUUUGAGGAAGAAGAAGCCUCUGCUGUUGAAGGAGGAGUAGACCAGUCCCUUUUUUUUUUUCGUUCUCUCCCUCUCCCUUUUUGCUCUCAUUUUCUCUUGUGCAAAGAAUCUCCCCC